RNAcentral lists this long non-coding RNA (204 nucleotides) under Mytilus galloprovincialis (Mediterranean mussel). The record is from RNAcentral. Lineage: Eukaryota; Metazoa; Mollusca; Bivalvia; Mytilida; Mytilidae.
GUUUACUGUAUAUAGUGUAUCACAAAACAUUCAUAUCGAACAUAUUCAAGUGUUAUUUUGAAACAUUUUGAUAUAUUUUCAUGUCUUUUAACUUAAACAUACCAAAUAACAUAGUUGUGAAUGUUUUUUUGAUAAUGGCCCUUACACCAAUGUCCAAGGAUAGGAGGAGGGUCGGGAUCCCGCUAACAUGUUAAACCCCACAAC